Molecule: ribosomal RNA, 443 nt
Filed under: uncultured bacterium
Lineage: Bacteria
Description: partial 16S ribosomal RNA
Rfam family: Bacterial small subunit ribosomal RNA
Source: RNAcentral
CCUACGGGAGGCUGCAGUGGGGAAUAUUGGGCAAUGGGCGCAAGCCUGACCCAGUAACGCCGCGUGAAGGAAGAAGGCUUUCGGGUUGUAAACUUCUUUUCUCAGGGACGAAGCAAGUGACGGUACCUGAGGAAUAAGCCACGGCUAACUACGUGCCAGCAGCCGCGGGAAUACGUAGGUGGCAAGCGUUAUCCGGAUUUACUGGGUGUAAAGGGCGUGUAGGCGGGAAAGCAAGUCAGAUGUGAAAACCAUGGGCUCAACCUGUGGCCUGCAUUUGAACCUGUUUUUCUUGAGUACUGGAGAGGCAGACGGAAUUCCUGGUGUAGCGGUGAAAUGCGUAGAUAUUAGGAGGAACACCAGUGGCGAAGGCGGUCUGCUGGACAGCAACUGACGCUGAGGCGCGAAAGCGUGGGGAGCAAACAGGAUUAGAUACCCGAGUAGUC